GGGAAAUGCCAGAAUUCUGAGACGCAGAGGAUGGUCUGGGCUGCUCUUUCCAAAGGCUGUUUUUCAGCCUGCUGUGAAUUGGGCGAGGGAAAUCAGGCAGCUGUCCUUCCCUGUGCCCUGGGGUCAGCACCCUGCCCCUUCCUCUUCAGCACCUGCCACCGUCUGAGCCCUGGGGCCAGGUUGUCUCAUUGGGUUGGUAACCAAAGGAUGAGUUGGCUGAUGAGUUGGCUCCCAGGCCACCACAAAGGCCUGUGUUUUUGCUGUGUGUCCCCAGACUCAUUCCUUUACAUCUCUGGGCCUUUCUGGGAGCAAGGUCCUCCCUCUAAGAUUCCUGGUACAUUCCUCAGGCACCUCCCUAAGCCAACAGAGCUCAGGUAUUCCCCUGAGCUGGGAGCAGGCCAGGGGUACUCCAGCUGGGGCGUCAUUUCUGAGGCUCCAACACUUCUAGCAACAAGGCUCCCCCACUUGAGUCUUGUGGAUGUCAGCUCAGGGAUCUCCUGUGUUCAGGGUCACCACAGGACAUGCGUAAGAGGUGCCUGGGAAGCCCCAGAAAUCCUGACCGAAGAACAUUUAGCAACCUGCAAAGAAAACAGACCAUACACAGCAGCCCCGGUGCUGUCACCCACGCGCUGGCAUGGACAAGAGAUGGGUAAUGCCAGGCUUUCAGUGGCUUUAUCGAUUCUGGAUCUGCGUCUCACUGAAGCACACCUCUUGUGUGUGACUGUGUGUCUGCAUGUUCUCUGUGUGCUUUUGUGUCUGUCUCUGUGUGUCCGUGACUACAUGUUUCUCAACGGCACCCUGACUCAAAACUAAAGGGAACAUGAGAAAAGGGAACUGCGGACCAACGUCCUUUCUGAAUAGGCGCAAAUCAGUCCUCAGCAAACCACGGUAUCAACAAACAGAACCAAUAACUUAUCACAGGAACAAACAUAAUGGUGAGGAGGAAUUACCUCAGGAACACAAGCUAAUUUAACAGUUGAAAGACCCAAUCAAUGUGAUUCAUGAUAUUAAUAGCAUAAUGUAGGGAAAAAUCACAUGCUAAUUUUAAUAGAUGUAGAAGCCAUACAGUGGAAUUCAAUAGAUGCAGAAAACACAUUUAACAAAAUUCAACUGUCUUGACUUAAAAAAAAAAUUUUUUUUAAUUUUAAAAACUCUCAGCAAUCUGUGAUGAAAGACAUCUACUAAAAACCCACAGCAACAUAAUACUCUGUUAAAAGGCUCCAUACUUUCUACCUAAGAACACAAAUAAAGAUUGUUGGGCUGGGGUGUGGUUCAGUGGUCAGUAUAUGCAAAACAAAACAAAAUCCCCAAGAAACCAGGUAUCCUGGAGAUCCUAACCAGUAUAAUAAUUCAAGAAAGGAAAAGGAUGGGAAAGGAAGAGGAGGGGAGCGAGGAAGAGGGGAAGGAAGGAAGAAAAGAAGAAAAAAAGGGAGGGGGCCAAGGAGGGAAGGAAGGAAGGUAUUUCCAGAUAACAUGAUCAUGCAUGUCAAAAACUGAAAAGCAUCUACUUAAAUGAAAACAAAAUGCCAAGCAGAAUAAGAAAAAUGUAUCAAGGCUGCAGGAUACAAGGAAAAUAUACAAAACAAGCUGAGAUGAAUUAGACAGAAGAGCAGCAGGAAACACAGAAGGUCCAGACAUCAUUGUAAAGUAAUUCAACCUAACAUCUGCAAAACACUCCACUCAACCAUAGAAGAAAGCAUUCUUCCUAUAGAGCACACGGAACUUUCUCCAGAAUGGGCCAAAUGUAAUGCCAGAAAACAAGUCUCAAUAAAUUUUAUAAAAAAUCAUAUAAAAUGGAUUUCCACAUACAAAAGAAUGAAAUUG
Molecule: long non-coding RNA, 1824 nt
Filed under: Chinchilla lanigera (long-tailed chinchilla)
Lineage: Eukaryota; Metazoa; Chordata; Mammalia; Rodentia; Chinchillidae
Description: lncRNA (ENSCLAG00000023631.1)
Source: RNAcentral